RNAcentral lists this ribosomal RNA (301 nucleotides) under uncultured bacterium. RNAcentral describes it as "partial 16S ribosomal RNA". It matches the Rfam family "Bacterial small subunit ribosomal RNA", at positions 509 to 807 of the family's 1533-position model. The record is from RNAcentral.
CAGUCGCCGCGGUAAUACGGAGGGUGCAAGCGUUAAUCGGAAUUACUGGGCGUAAAGCGCACGCAGGCGGUUUGUUAAGUCAGAUGUGAAAUCCCCGGGCUCAACCUGGGAACUGCAUUUGAAACUGGCAAGCUAGAGUCUCGUAGAGGGGGGUAGAAUUCCAGGUGUAGCGGUGAAAUGCGUAGAGAUCUGGAGGAAUACCGGUGGCGAAGGCGGCCCCCUGGACGAAGACUGACGCUCAGGUGCGAAAGCGUGGGGAGCAAACAGGAUUAGAUACCCCUGUAGUCCCUGUCUCUUAUAC